RNAcentral lists this ribosomal RNA (750 nucleotides) under uncultured bacterium. RNAcentral describes it as "bacterial SSU rRNA". It matches the Rfam family "Bacterial small subunit ribosomal RNA", at positions 54 to 773 of the family's 1533-position model. The record is from RNAcentral.
CAUGCGAGUCGAGCGAGCGGAACUAGCAGAAGUCUUCGGAAGGACGCUAGGAAAGCGAGCGGCGGAUGGGUGAGUAACACGUGGGUAACCUGCCCAUAAGACUGGGAUACCACUUGGAAACAGGUGCUAAUACCGGAUAAAAGUAAGAGUCGCAUGACUUUUAUUUAAAAGGCGGCGUAAGCUGUCACUUAUGGAUGGACCCGCGGUGCAUUAGCUAGUUGGUAAGGUAACGGCUUACCAAGGCAACGAUGCAUAGCCGAGUUGAGAGACUGAACGGCCACAUUGGGACUGAGACACGGCCCAAACUCCUACGGGAGGCAGCAGUAGGGAAUCUUCCACAAUGGACGAAAGUCUGAUGGAGCAACGCCGCGUGAGUGAAGAAGGUUUUCGGAUCGUAAAGCUCUGUUGUUGGUGAAGAAGGAUAGAGGUAGUAACUGGCCUUUAUUUGACGGUAAUCAACCAGAAAGUCACGGCUAACUACGUGCCAGCAGCCGCGGUAAUACGUAGGUGGCAAGCGUUGUCCGGAUUUAUUGGGCGUAAAGCGAGCGCAGGCGGAAAAAGAAGUCUGAUGUGAAAGCCCUCGGCUCAACCGAGGGAUUGCAUCGGAAACCGAUUUUCUUGAGUGCAGAAGAGGAGAGUGGAACUCCAUGUGUAGCGGUGGAAUGCGUAGAUAUAUGGAAGAACACCAGUGGCGAAAGCGGCUCUCUGGUCUGUCACUGACGCUGAGGCUCGAAAGCAUGGGUAGCAAAC